GGACUACUGGGGUAUCUAAUCCCGUUCGCUCCCCUAGCUUUCGUGCCUCAGCGUCAGAAGAGACCCAGUAAGCCGCUUUCGCUCCUGGUGUUCCUUAAGAUAUCAACGCAUUUCACCGCUCCACCUUAAGUUCCGCUUACCUCUGUCUCCCUCAAGUCCAGUAGUUUUGGGCGCACUUCCUCGGUUGAGCCGAGGUCUUUCACACCCAACUUUCUGGACCGCCUACGCACCCUUUAAGCCCAGUAAAUCCGAAUAACGUUUGGACGGUACGUAUUACCGCGGCUGCUGGCAC
RNAcentral lists this ribosomal RNA (292 nucleotides) under uncultured Planctomycetota bacterium. Its description in RNAcentral is "uncultured planctomycete partial 16S ribosomal RNA". Lineage: Bacteria; Pseudomonadati; Planctomycetota. The record is from RNAcentral.